GCCUUACGUACCCAAAGAUGAAAAGAUGACGGUUGUGAGGCUUUAACCCUAACAGUAAGUCUUCGUUAGUGAAAUUGAUUGCGUUAUGGGCGGCACAACAUGUGGCAUAUUCAUAUGGCCGAAGCUUCAAGCCUUCGUCCUUACUUUCUUGCACUUUGUGGUCAUCGGGACUUGCCAAGACUGCUAUUAGUGAUUUUCGCAUCUCCUUGGUAACUGUAGCGCUUAUUCGAUGCUAAAGUAUGUUAUCAAGUACCAAGUGACAGGCAACGGUAAUGCAUUGUUGGAAGAAGUCUUUCAGGAAGUACUCGUGCAAUGAGACGGGAAUACGUGGCUCUUGCUCCAUAGGUUCCCCAGCGUAUGUUGGCUU
Molecule: long non-coding RNA, 367 nt
Filed under: Malus domestica (apple)
Lineage: Eukaryota; Viridiplantae; Streptophyta; Magnoliopsida; Rosales; Rosaceae
Description: long non-coding RNA (MDOM_LNC012474)
Source: RNAcentral